RNAcentral lists this long non-coding RNA (37495 nucleotides) under Cucumis sativus (cucumber). RNAcentral describes it as "long non-coding RNA (CSAT_LNC001971)". The record is from RNAcentral. Lineage: Eukaryota; Viridiplantae; Streptophyta; Magnoliopsida; Cucurbitales; Cucurbitaceae.
UUUUUUUUUUUUUUUUUGUUAAAUUAAAGAUAAAUAUUUAACUUAGAUUCAUCCUACCAAACAUUAAAACUAGAGAUUUAAUUAUAUAAUCAUUUUCCAACUCAUGUCAAGUCAUUUUAAAAAAUGACAAGUCAACAACUCAAUAUGAUCCAGUUUUUAAGUCUUUGAAUUGUCACUACAAACAAUUAUAUAUCUCUUGACGCAUAUAUUCGUCCGAAAAUGCACAAAAUAGCAUUAGGAUCGAAGUUUAAUUAAACUUCUAACGAUGGAAAAAUCAUCAAAAGAUUCGUAAAAGAGACGAUCUUUUGAUUAACACACAUGGUCAUAAAUUUGGGUUUGAAUGACACAGGGUAAAUAACUAAAUUUGAGUUGGAGGAGGCAAAUUGUGUCAUAAAUGUUAGAAAAAGGCGUUUUUGGUCCGAAAACCCUAAUUUUCAAGCUUCAGUUUUUUAAUUGUCAAGCAUCAAUGACAUUUAAUAAACUACAUUAAAUGAUUUUAAUCUUUUUAUGUUACAGAUUUUGAUUGGAUUAUUUAUUAAAAACAAAAUUGGAGCAUCCAUUUUUUUUAUGAUUAUUAAUAAAUUAAAUUUUUAUAUUUAAUAUUUAUUAAUAAAGAUAAGAAAUUAGAUUUGGUUGUUAUAUGUUGGGUUAAUAUUUAAGGAAAACUCAUGACAAAAAAAGAGAAAAAGAAAGUUCAUACCACUUUCAUGUUUUUUUGGAUAUUGUAAAUAUGACAAGUAAAUAGAUAUAUUAUGAGUUUAAUAAUUAUUAUUAUUUAAACUUUUCACGACGUACAACCUGUCACACGUCGUAAAAAGUGUCCGUAUUGAAGUGACAAUAGUCACCUUUUCUCGACAUGUGGCAGGGAGACACAUCGGAAAAGUUUAAAUAAUGAAUUUAUUAUUUAAACUUUUUUUGACAUGUACUAUAUACGUUGACGAAAAGGUACCUUUCCCGACGUUUUCGGAGACGUCGAAGAAAGUUCACACUAUUUAUUCUCUCUUCAACACAGAAAAGAAUGCAAAACAAAAACAAACCAUAAAUUGACCGAGGGAGAGGAGGAGAGUUGUGUUGCCGUCGCCGUCGCCGUCCAUCUUCACCGCCGCCACCGCCGAAAGUGUCCUCUUUCCUUCUCCUUUUCUUUUUCGUUUUAACUUUUUCGCUUCAUUGUACCCUUUCAAAUAAUAGCAGAGCCAAAAUGUAGUGACAAUGUGUUUUAUUAUCAUAAUUUUUUUUUGCUAUUUUUACAAAUGUCCUAAUAUUUAUUAAUAAAGAUAAGGAAUUGAUUGUUACUAAUAUAUUCUCAGAAUUACUAUAUAUUUUUCUAAUGCACUGUUAUGAUGUGAAUCAUGAUUUUGGUUUCUCUGCUUGUUUCAGAAGUAACCCCAAAAGCAAUAAUUAGGAGGACGAUGGGAGUAAAAGGUCUCUCACCCUUCAUCACUUAAAAUCACACCUCCAAGGUUUGUUCGUUUCACCAUUCCGUGUGUUUGACGUUUUGCAUGAGAAGGAUAUCCUCCUUCAUUUCAUAGCUUAUGUACUUAUCAAAACAUUCUUUUCAUAUAUUUUUUUUAACUAUUUAAUUCAUUAUAAUGUAUUUAGGUUUGAAAACUCUUAGACUCACAUCAUUAAAAUUUAUUUGACUUACAAAAUCCAAUUAAGUUCCUUUGCUUUCGAAUCUUAGAAUAUAGUUACCCAACUUUUACUCUUUUAAAAUUGUUUUUUAUCUUCUUCUUUUGUAUUAAAUACAACUUACCCUGCUAAAAUUAUGGAUUUACUAAGCCAAUACAUUAUUCCCAUCAAAUUGUUUUAUUCCAUUUUCGUUUCUUUAUUAUUAUUAUUAUUAUUUGUCAUUGUAUUGUAUUUUAAUAUAAAAACUGAUUUUCAGAAAACUUGCGACUAAAUUUUGAAUUUGAUAACUAUAUAGUUUCCAAUAAAUCUUUAUUUAGAAAGAUCUUUGAAAAGGAGAAAAUAUAUAGAAUGUUGCUUAGAUUUCGUUUUACCCAUUUAGUAACUCUUAGAUAUUCUAAAACGUAAGAUAUGCCCUUCCAAAAUCCAAACACUCACUUUUUUUCUCUCUUUUACUUGUGAACCAUUAAUUAGGUCAAAUACGUACUCAGACAAAAUAGGUGAAAUUAGGUGAAAAUAAAAAAUAUAUAGAAUUCGUUCAAGUAUAAAAGAAUAAUUAUAAAACAUGAACAUUUUCAAACACACCUAAAUCUGGUUGCAAAAUUAAUAAGUAUAAUACAAUAGAUUUUUUUAAUUAUAUAUGGUUAAAAUUUAAUUUAAAAUAUUAUUUCUUGUUCAAUUAAUUAGACAAAGAUGUUGAUUAAAAUUCAACUUAAUUAUACUCAAUUAUAUAUUAUUACGUAAAUGUCUUAUAUGUAAAAUAUUAAAAGUAAUAUAAAUGAAUAUUUUAGUAGAAAUUUUUUUAAUAUACAUAAAUGAAUAUUUUAGUAGAAAAAUUUAUAUCAGGUAACAGUUUAACUAAUUUUGAAGGAACUAAAGAUAAUAAAUUUAAAUUGAAAAUAAAAUAUACACAUGCAUAUUGCAAAAUUUAAAAUUAAUAUUUAAAUAAAACAAGAUCAAAAUAAUAUAUAAAUUUAAAUAUUAAAUAAUUUAUAAUUCAAACUUAAAUUAAACAUGUAAAUAUUAAAAAACAAAAAAUAAAUGUAAGUAACUAGAAAAGAAGAUUUAAAACUAAAUAUGAAAUUUGAAAAUCAAAUAAUAGGUAAAUCUAAAUAUUAAAAAAUUAAAAUUAAAUUAAAUAUACAAAUAUGAAAAAUAAUAAAGAAAGGAAAAAUUCCCAACAUCCCUCCCUCCUCAACACAGUAUGAUUGACCAAAAUUUCAUGUAAUAUUUUUUGAAAUAACAUAAAGAAAAUCAUAACUAAAGUUGACUAUUCAAAGUAGGGCACCCAAAAUGUUAAUUUAAUUAGCAACAGCUCUCUAUAAAUACCCAUUUCAUGAACUACAAAAUUCCCCACUCACAUCUUAACACAUAUUAUUAUUAUCACUUUCCUACAACAAACAAAACUUCACGCAUUCCAAAUCCUUAAUUAUUCAAUUCUCUCCAAGAAACAAGGAUCCAAUGGCGACUGCUGUUAAUCAUAAAACCCUCGACUUGGAACCGGUCUCCUCCACUGGCAACUUUCCAGUUCAACGUUGCAACUCAUUCCGGUCUAAUAGCUUCAAAUUCAAGCGCCAAGCCGAGAAACCGCUCCUUAUUGAUGAUGAUGAUUCCUCCUUUGAUCGUGACGAGGAGAACAUUGAUUACUUCCGGGAUUUGAUCCGGAAGGGGAAAGAGGAAAUCGAGCCGUCGAUUCUUGAUCCGAGGGACCAGGGGACGGCGGAUAGUGGGAUCAUGAGGAAUCCUUGUAUGGUCCGGCUUACCGGAAAACACCCCUUCAACUCUGAACCGCCGCUGGACCAUCUCAUGCGCCAUGGGUUCAUUACUCCGGCCCCACUUCAUUACGUUCGUAACCAUGGUCCGGUUCCGAAGACUGAUUGGUCUAGCUGGACGAUUGACGUCACUGGACUCGUUGAAAACCCUACAUCCUUCACUCUCGACCAACUUGUCAAUAACUUCAGGUCCUCAAAUACCCAUUUUACUCAAAACCCUCCAAACUCAUUUCCAAACUAAUUCUUGUUUUUAUUUUUUAAUUUAAGUUUUUUCUUUUUUUCUAAAGUUUAAAAUUCAGUUAAUAAACACUCACUGUUUAUCUCGUAAACAAUUUUUUUUAAUAGCUAACAAAAAAAAGUUUUUAAAAAAUUGAUAUUUUGAUUUUAGGAUUUAGUCGGUACUUCCAAAACUAAGGGUUGAAGAUAGGAUAAAGAAAUAAACAUUGGUUUUUGAUUUUGUGUUUUUAAUAAUUAAGCUUAUAAAUAUUCUUUUUAGUGGAUUCUUUGAUUUGUUUUCUAACUUUCUAACAAUAUUUUAUAAAAUUAAAGUAUUCUUCUUUUAAAAAAAAAAUCAUUUUGUUAAAUUUGAUAGUACCAGUUCUAUCUCAAAACCAAUGAGAGAAGUAGUAUCUUUUUAAAUGGAUUUUCAACUUCUCCAACAAAUUUUAAAUCUAGCUCUUUUAAUUAAAAAUUGAAACUUGUUAUACAAGUUUGAGAUAAAAUAGACUGAACUACUUAUUUUUAAAUUUACAAAUCAAUGUUUGUUUAAUUUUCUUUAAUGAAUUCUUUUAAGAUUUAUGAGGUACUUAGAAAUAAUGUAUCUUAGCGCAGGAGAGCUUCAACAAAACAUCUGUAUCAUCACUUUAUUUCUUUCUUAAAAAUAAACACAAAGACAAAACCCAUAGGAUUUCUUUUAAAAAUUUUCUUUUUAGUUAUUAAAUUUAGGUUGACAUUUUGAAAACGUUUUUUUUUAAAAUAAUAAUAAAAGAGGAAAGUAGAGUUAUGACAAAACAAAGCAAUUCAAGAGCAAAACUAAAACGUCAUAAGCUUAUUUUAUUUUAUUUUUUUAAAAUACAAGUUUUAAAAUAUAGAACAAAACCCCCACACAAUUGAGUAAUUGACUAUUGAUAUAUAUAAGAAAUUGAGAACAAAUGAAAUUACAAUCAUAUUUAAAUUCAACAACUUAAAUAUGUGGGAUAUGAUUAUUUCUAACCCUUUAUUCAUAUUCUUAAAGCAGAUCUCUAGAGUUUCCGGUUACCAUCAUGUGCUCCGGCAACCGACGGAAGGAGCAAAACAUGGUGAAACAAACCAUCGGAUUCCACUGGGGAGCCGCCGUGACCUCCACCUCACUGUGGCGGGGAGUUCCAUUACGCGAAGUACUGAAACGGUGCGGCAUCUUCAGCCGUCAAAGAGGAGCCUUAUACGUAUGGAUGGAAGGCGCGGACAAUCUCCCUGGUGGUGGCGGCUGCAGCUACGGCACCAGCAUAAGAAGAGAAAUGGCAAUGGACCCAUCAAGAGAUAUCAUAAUAGCAUACAAGCAAAACGGCGACCCACUCCCGCCAGACCACGGCUUUCCGGUUAGGAUGAUCGUCCCGGGGUUCACUGGCGGCCGCAUGGUCAAGUGGCUCAAACGAAUCAUCGUCACCAAUAGAGAGUCUGACAAUUAUUAUCAUUUUAUGGACAACCGUGUCCUUCCAUCCCACGUGGAUUCUUCCGAGCUGGCACAUGCUGAAGGUGAUAUAUUUAUUUAUUAUAAUUUAAUGAUUAAUUGACAUUUUCUAAAAUUUACUAAUUUUUAAAAACUAUAUACUCAAUAUUUAUUUAGGUUGGUGGUACAAACCGGAGUACGUUAUCUACGAAAUGAACAUAAACUCUGUGAUAACAACACCGUCACACAACGAGACGUUGUUGAUUAAUUCAGAGACGACACUAUCCACCUACACGUUAAGGGGAUACGCAUAUUCCGGUGAGUAAGAAUUAGUAAUGUGAACACAAUUAUUGUAUAAUUUUCUAUUUGAGAUUUAUUUUUGUUUUCUUGGUGUAGGUGGAGGGAAAAAGGUGACACGUGUACAGGUGACGUUGGACGGUGGGGAGACGUGGAAGAUAUGUAAUUUGGAGUACCAUGAGAAGCCAAACAAGUAUGGGAAAUAUUGGUGCUGGAUCUUUUGGUCAGUCGACGUGGAAAUAUUGGACCUGUUUGGAUCUAAGCAAAUUGCUGUCCGAGCAUGGGAUGAAACAACCAACACACAGCCAGAAAAUCUUAAUUGGAAUCUCAUGGUAAUUAUUAAUAAUUAUGUUUCUAUUUCUACAUUAAAAAUAUAUUAUAGUUAAUGAAGUUAUUAUCGUCAGAAAAAUCUUACAAAAUCUAUGACCCAUGCACACAUAUGAAACUAAAACAAUAAAAUUUUAACUAAAUCAUAAGAAACCUGACAUAUAAUGUCCCUUUCUUCAGCCUUCUUCAACUACCUAUUUUUUAUUCCAUCUUUUAAAACACAGAUAUUUCUUCUUCUUCCCACCUUUUAGCUUGACUUUCCUAUUUCUCACCCUCUCAUCCAUAUGCUUUAAUUCAAAGAAAAAGUUUCUUACAAAAUAAUUAUAUUUAAACUGCAAUAUGUAUAGUGAGACUCAAUGGUUUGAUAAAUUAAAGAAAACACACGGUUUUUGCAAUAAAAAUAUACCCAGGUUGAAUAAUAUAAUAAAUAAUUGAUAACAUUAUAAAAUAGUGACAUAAAUGGGAAGAAUGAGAACAUUUUAUCGUAAUAAAAAGUUUAUGUAAGGAUGACGCAAAUUAAAUAACCGGUCAAUUUGAGAAAAUAAAAAUAAAUAUAUGUACAAAUGUAAACCCUUUUUUGUAUGGUGAUAGUAGAAUACAUAUUAAUUCUACUUUAUUUCAAACAAUAAUACUCGAUCAAUACAUACUGCCAAAAAUAUUGUUUUUUCUUAAAAGAAAAAGUACCAAUUAAUAUAGAAAAAGUACGACUUCAACGUUAUCAUACAAAAAUUUAUGAACUCUCAUAAUUAAUAUAGUAAUAAUAGUCCUAGAGAAAGAAUCAUAAGAGAAGAGAUGUUGCGGAAACGUACAUUCGUUUUAGUAGUUUUUUAGUUUUUUUCGUGGGUUUUUUCUACAGUUUUUAUUUUUUUUAAACUUUUGAAAAACCCCUUUUUAUUAAAAAAGAUAAAUAAUAAUAAUAAUUUUUCAUAGAGGAAUACUAUAUGAGAACACAUUUUCUACCACAGCUUGUUGAUAAUAAAAGUACAAAAAUGUUUGGAUGCAGGGGAUGAUGAACAACUCAUGGUACCGAAUCAAGAUAAACAUAUGCAAACCCCAAAAAGGAGAGAUCGGGAUCGUGUUCCGCCACCCAACAGUCGCCGGCAACAAUGCCGGCGGCUGGCAGGAAAAGGACAAACCCAAUCCGACCGACGAGUCCCCUUCCCAACAAAAAGACAACAAGAGCACCACCACCUUCUCCAUGUCGGAAGUCAAAACCCACAACUCGUCCGAAUCGGCUUGGAUCGUCGUCCAGAACCAUGUCUACGACUGUACUCCUUUUCUCAAAGACCAUCCAGGCGGCGCAGACAGCAUUCUCAUCAACGCUGGCACAGAUUGCACGGAAGAGUUCGAGGCUAUCCACUCCGACAAAGCCAUUAAAAUGCUUGAGGACUACAAAAUCGGAGACUUGUUGAUCCUAAACGACAACAAGGACGCAACGUCAUCACCCAAAGCAGUUACUCAACACGUGGCUCUGAUCCCUCGUGAGAAAAUCCCGGUGAAAUUGAUUUCGAAAACUACAAUUUCUCACAACACGAGAAUUUUCAGAUUUGGUCUUUCUUCGGAAGAUCAAAGAUUAGGACUACCCGUUGGAAAGCACAUAUUUUUAUGCGCCAAUGUGGAUGGGAAACUAUGUAUGAGAGCCUACACACCGUCAAGCGCCGUUGACCAAACGGGCUACUUCGACUUAGUCGUAAAAAUCUAUUUCAAGAACGUUCAUCCCGAUUUCCCCAACGGUGGCCUUAUGUCACAGUAUCUUGACUCGCUCCCGUUGGGAUCAAUGGUGGAAGUGAAAGGCCCAUUGGGCCAUAUAGAGUACAUGGGGCGCGGCAACUUCAGAGUCAACGGAAAGCCCAGAUUGGCCAAGAAGCUUGCCAUGGUGGCAGGUGGGACUGGGAUAACGCCUAUAUAUCAAGUGGUGCAGGCGAUUUUAAAAGAUCCGGAGGACGAGACGGAGAUGUUUGUUGUAUAUGCGAACCGGAGUGAGGAGGAUAUUCUGCUUAGGGAAGAGUUGGAAACAUGGGCGAAGGAGAAUGAGAGAUUGAAGAUUUGGUAUGUGGUGAAGGAUGGGGUUCAAGAAGGGUGGCCGUACAGUGUGGGAUAUAUUAGGGAAGAUAUUCUGAGGGAGCAUAUUCCGAUGGGGUCACCACAGACUUUGGCUUUGGUCUGUGGGCCGCCUCCCAUGAUUGAGCUCACAGUUAAGCCCAUACUCAAGAAUUUGGAGUAUGAUUUAGAAGGUUCCUUGUUGGUGUUUUGAUCUUUUUACUAAUUACCUUUUCAAUAUUAUUAUAAUUAUUUUGUUUGUUGUAAUAAUUACUGUGAAAGUGGGUUAAAAUUCAAUUUAUAUGAUCUUAUUCAUUUGUAAUAAUUAUGAUCACUUCAAUAAUAUUCUUUAUGUUGGUUUUUCUAUUCACUUUUCUGUGUUGUAUGAUAGAUUGAUUGAUGAUACAUGUGUUGAAAUUUUAAGUUAAAAGAAUAAUAACAAUAAUAAAAGCUAGGGAAUAGUUUACUAUUAAUUCAUUCACUCAUUUUCAUUAAUUCUACUAAUAUUACAAUUUGGACCAACUAAUGGUAUGGUAAACUCUUUUACCUCCCUAUCACCUCUAUUUAGUAUGUUUUAAAUGUAUAAAAACUUAUUGAUAGUAUUGGACAAAUAAACAAUCACAUUAAUUUAUUUUUUUAAAUGUCAAAAUUACCCUCUCUUCUUGCGCCUCUUCCUUCCUCUUUCCUCUUCCUCAACACCUUUCUUAUGUCAAAAAAAAAAAAAAAAAAAAAAAAAAAAAAACUGUCAGUCCAAACUCUCAUCUUCUUCCUUGUUUUUCUUCCCACCUUCUUCUUAUGUUUGGAAAGCUCUACCAAAACCACACAGGCUGACUAAACCCCUAAUAACCAAGAUCCAAUAUCAUUGUUGAAAUCCACCUCUCUUCAUCAGAGUUAAUCACACUGAAAUACCCACCUGUAGAUUGAAGAAAACCACGUUGAACGGAACUACCCUUGUCGAAAAAAACCCCCUUUUUCUGCUAGACCCUCGCUGAUGAAGAAUACCCUGACAACCACACUGUAACAACUUCAAUUGCUCUUGAAAAUCUGCAUAAUUCUCAAUAUAAUUUCUUAUGCAAAUAUCCUCAUUUUGGCUUUUACGAUAAGAGCCUUACAGUGGAUGAAGGUUCACUAGUUUACAAAAUUGUCAUCGGUGCAUGUACUUAAUACUGUGACAAUAAAAAAAGUAAUGAGAAGGUAAUCAAAUAAGCAGAAGGUAAUCAAAUUUAAUGAUUAUUUUAGAAGGCUAACUAAAAUUAAAAAAAAUUUAAAUGUAGAAGGUGACGCGCAUUGAGAUAAUCUACGUUUGUUAUUUGUUAAGUAAAUGAUUUUGAAGAAAGAGUUUUUGAGAAUUUAAGUGUUUUGAUGCUUAGCAUUGAGAUAAGGUGACGUGGGGAGAAGGAGAAGGUGAGCAAGACUAAGUAGGCAGUUUGAGGAUCAAACACGAGCUGAAGUUAGGCGUUGAAAGGUAGGCAGUUUGAGGAUCAAACACGAGCUGAAGUUAGGCGUUGAAAGGUAGGAUUUUUUCUAGAAACUUUCUAAUUGUACUUAAUGGGUGAAGUGUGUAAGAGUUUAAACUAAGUAUGGUCAUGAAAAUAUUAAGCUUACGUGUGUAGUACUUUAAGCAGAAGCUGGUGAGUUAAUUAACAAGAACUUACGGAUGACUAAUCUAAUUUGGAUUAGUAUAUAAAUAGGGAAAAAGGGUCGGUUAUGAAAAAUGUAAUGCUAAAGUAUUUGAAGUCACUCUAAGUCAGUAGGCAAGAAGGUCUUUUAGAACCUAGGCGUUCUAAAGACAAAAUUUAUGUUGUGAGUGAUUUUCAAAUAUCAUUUAAAAAUUUUGAAAGCUUCCUUCUGAUUGUAAUGAUUGCUUCUUAUAAUAAUGUUCAUGAAAGAAAUGUUUUCUAAAGAAAGCUUUAAUGUUAUGCUCCAAGUAAAGUUUUAUGUAUGUUAAAUGUAUGCUAUGUUAUGUAUAAAUCAUUAGUCUUAUUUCUAUCAAUGAACUAACUAUUAAUGUGCAUAGAAGAAAUAAAGGCAUCUAUGUAUAAAAUUAUUGCAUGGUGUAAGUGAAGUUAGCUAAUGCGUAAAAGGAAAUACUGAGCUUAGCGGCUUAAGCAACAUGAAGUGAACCACGAUAUUCUCCAAGGGAUGUUGUUGAUGAAAAGGACAUCACAGUAUUCCAUAUGGGGGAAUAGUUAAUGUUCUUGAAAGAAAGGAAUAUGAAAGACUAAUGCAUGUUUUAUGUUCUACGAAACAGACAUUGAGCCUGUUUACUGAAAACCUUUUAACGCAUUGUAUGUCUGAAAAGGUUUUCCAAAACUAACAUUCGCUAAGUUUUUACUUACGCUUUAAAGAUUUUUCUCUCCCAAGUCACCAUGCGUUAAGGCCAAGGUUGGGAUAAGGAAGGUGAACUACCAAGCAGUGAAGCUAAUGCAAGACUUUUAAGAUUAUUGUUCUAGUUGUUGUAUUUAAGAAGCAUGCAAAUUGUGUUGUUGUGUACAUUAUGUUAAGUUAAGAGAAGAGUUGGUUGAUUAUUUUCCGUUGCGUUAUGUAAACUCUAUUCGCCUAAAGCUUAAGUUCAAGAAGUUAGGUUGAGCAUUCUGGGGUUUCAUCUUGAGGCAUUAGAACUUGCUCAAGUCACAUCGCACGCUGCAUUGCAAGAUUUGGGAUGCGUGCGAGACAAGGUGUGACAAAUCAGAUCACAAUCAUAAUGGAACAAAAAAUCUUACUAAUUGACAUAAAAUGGAAAGUAAUCAUAUCACAAUGUAAUGGUAAUCAGAAACUACUUAAUAAUUGAUAAAAGCUUGAUGGUAAUGAGAUGAAUAUCAGAUUUUACUUAGUAAUUAUAAAAAAAAAGAUGUAAUGUCAUUAGAUUGCAAUUAGUAUCAUUUACAAAUAAUUAAAAAUCAAUAUUAAAUUAAAUAAUAACAAGAUGGUAAACUAGUAUCAUUAACAAUCAAAUAACAAUGAACACUAAAUAACAAUAAGAGAGUAAUCAGACAACAAUCAAAUAACAAUUGAUAUCAUUGAUAAUCAAAUGAAAAUCUGAUAACAAUUAGAUGAUAAUCAAAUGUCAGAACUUGAUUCCAUGUUCUGUAUCAGCUUAGUUUUGAUAAUAGUUGACAAUUUGAACUACGGUAAACAUUAUGAGAACAUUUGAACUAUUCAUGUUGUUACUAUCUUUCAAAACUUUCAAUGAAUUCCUCCUUGAUAUAGCAUCUCUUGAAUGCAUUAGAACCUAAAGUUGAUCCUUCUUACACAAGUAAGACAUAAAUAAAUUCUAUAUUUUGGUUACAAACACUUGACACCAUUUAUGGUUAUUUCAUUUUUUUCGUGUUUUAUAUGUAGGUCUUCAAUGGUAUUGACACUAACCUUAAUAUGAGUUCCAUCUAAUGCUCCCACACAAUUCUAUAAAAAAAAAAAAAACAAUUGUUUUACUUCAUUCAAACAAGUAUCACUAUUGAAAAAUGUUAAAACUUACUACUUCAAGUCAUACCUCAAACCAUCUCCACUUUUCAUUGGAUGAAUUUACCUCAAACCAUCUCCACUUUUCAUUGGAUGAAUUUGUAGAUACAUGACUUGGUUUCUUUAGGAGGAAUUCAGGAAGACACAAUAUUGAGUUAAGAACUUCAUUAAAGAACAUAUUAACUUAUGAGACCUUGAUCGCGUUUUGAAGCUACACGUUAAGACCACAUGCAACAAAACUUAUAUGUGUUAAGAUUGCAUGCAAUGAGAGCUGGUGAAUAACACAAAGAUAGUGCCAGAAAACAUGAAGAAUAUUUCAACUUUCAACAUUCACUGAUAUGGGUUAUUAGAAGUUAUCUUCUAUGUCCAACAUCUAUAAAAGGCCAAUGAAGUCUUUUUUUCAAAUCAUCAUCUAACUAGCCAAAUAAGCUACUAGAUUGAAAUUUUUGUUGGAACUUAUGGCACUCUAGUUAACAUUCUAAGAUUGAGAUUGUAUUUUAAUCAUCUUUGGUGACAAACACUUGUAUGGAUUCAAUCAACUAAGUGUGAGAGACCUUAAAAUCAAUCAAAUAACAGAUUGAGAUAUCAUAGGAGUACAAUUUAAGUAAUUUCUUUACAGAGAAAGUGAAGAGAUUUAAGAGAGUUCGAAAGAAUCCUAUCUAGUAUCAUUUCAUUGAGACUUUGUAUAAAACCUUGACUUAAAGCUAAGAGCAGGAAAUUGUUACAGCUGCAAUUCCUUCUAUCAUAUUCAUUUGUUACAAUUCCUUCUAUAAUUGUUACAACAUCAUCAUUCUUUUGUCUUUUUAUAUUUUCUUAUUAAUCACAUUCCAUAGCUAAAGUUAUUGUUUUGUUGUCGACACUGAUUUCUCACUUUGUCAUAGCAGCUUAAUUAAUUUCAUAGGAGAAUGAGAUUAGUACAUAGUAAGUUGUGAAGCAUGCGUUGGCAUUCAUAGUCAUAUGGAUGCGAUAUCCUAUUCCUAACUGUUGACCCCAAUACCAAUUCGAAUCAAGUGGUAGCAAUUAACUGCUCGAGCAAAUAAGUGAUUGCAGAAUUUAUUAAGUCGGGUAAAGAAGUUCUCUUUAUUUCUGGACUAACCUUAGCAUGCAUCAUAAAAAUAUGACACAUGUGGCUAACUCAUUGAACGGUGGAGACAAUGCAAGGCUACAAAUAUAAAUAUGACGCUAUCACAUCAUUCACUUCACUUCAUCCUUUGAUCUUAUUCAUCUCUUUUUUAGUGUUGUCACUUACUUGUCACACUCUCUUUAAAUUAGAACACAUACUUUUUUAUAGUUAAAAAUAAAACUACACCUCCUAUAUUUGAUAAACACUCAGUUGCACAGACAACAUUUUUCGAUCUUUUUAACUAUAUGUUGUUUAUUUUUCGUGUUUGACCUCGAAUCAUUUUCAAAAAACCUUUGCUUAACUUACACUUGGGGUUAUAUAUAGAAAAACUUGUGGUAGAGCAUUACCAACACUUUUAAAAAUGCAUUACUAAUAUUCACACACCUCUAUCACAUCGCAUAUUACACCAUCGAGUAUUUUAAACACCAACUACCUGCACUAUUAUUUUCCAUCCAAAUACUUUUCUUCACCUUCUCUAAAUCUUUGAGCAAUUGAAUAAAAGUUUGUGAUGCAUGCUCAAACAACUAUUCAUUUAUGCUACUGUCAAGUAAUUUGACAAUCAUCACGAUCUAGUUACAAAUUGACUCUUUGAUUUUUUCACUUGUCUCUAUUUGAUUCUCAAGUUCACUUGAAACUCUAGCCUCUUUAAAUAUACGUUAAAAGAAUUAGGUUAAUAAUUUUCUUCUCAAGCACCUUAAGUGCACGGGUAUAUAAAAUUCCAACAAAAGUAAAUUUUAUGGAACUGGACGUAAUAAUGAUAUAAAAAUUUCACCAUCCAUUAUCCCAUGUAUGAACCCUUUAUACAUUUCACUCACGUAUCUUCAUAUGAACAAUACAAUUCAUAUUGUUUGUAACAUUUACAUCUCAUGUAACAAUUACAAAGUGGGUCGUAACCAAAGACCUUUUAGAUUAUAACUUGAACACAUGAAUUAUUUGUAUGUCAUCCACGUAUUAUUUGACUAACAUUAUAUAUAACGUGGGUCUUUGUUUAUUGAAUUGAAUUAAUAUUGUCUAAAAGUAAAAUAAAAUAUUUCAGGCUUUCUUAAAUAAAUAAUUUUUGUUUAAUGAAAACUACUAACAGUGAGAUUUUAGGACACUAGUUUACAUAAAUAUCAACAGGGGAUAACAAUGAAGUGCAUGUGAGUUAAGUUCGAUAUCCAUAUACCUAUGAAAAUGGGAAGAACAGGUACAAUGUAAAAUUAAGAGUGUCUUAGUUAGAUACCCUGGAGUUACAGGGUUUUAAGUGCGCAAACCAUCGUUAUGUAAACCAAGCACAUAUAUCAAUCUAACAAAAUAAAGAUUAUAACUCCCAAUACGUACUAGAAUCAUAAAUUGCAUGUUACUUCAUGGGCUCCAACUUGUGAGUGAGAGGUCAGUGUUGUGGGUAAUUUUUUUAAGAAGUUUCGUGGCCAUUAAAUUAGUCGAGGAAAGAUAGCUAGAGCCUAAGCAAUACAUUAUAAGACGAAAAGGAGGUUUAGGAAAGAGAAAGAAAUGGGUAGAAAAAGCUUAUCUGAGAUUCUCAGCUUAGCUUCCACCAAAGUCGGGCCUAGUGAAUUAGCUUGGGAACUUUUCCAUUCAUUCCACCUAGAACAAUAAUGAAAGAGAAAAUGGCCAUGGAACUAUUUCAUUUGCCCUAUCUGGUCUAAUGAGCAUUCAAAAGCCUCCCAGAUGCAUAGUUUUUAAACAGAAUCGUGAGAGGAUUACAGCAUAUGAUAACGCCUGCCAUGACAACUCCUUGGAGAAGGAGGUGAAUUCUUCUAUCCUAAUAUUUUCUUUUUCUUUUUUGGUUCGUUUAUUGAUUUAAGCAUUAGAGUGUGGGUUGGCAUCCAUCACACCAAUGUCUAAAACUCACAUUUUUUUUUCCAAGGAUUUUGAUUUCUUUCCAUCAAUUCACCGUUGCUAUCUUGUUCAAAUUUCAACAUCAAUAACAUAAAAACAUGGUUAAAUUUAUGAAUAGUGUAAUUUAAUAAACAAAUGACAAAUUUGUGGUAGUUUUGAAAUAAAUAUUGAAAAUAAAUAAAUUGAAUUUGGGGGAGAUGCAAAAUAUUGACAGAAAAACAACAACCAUGAAUUGAUAAUGAAAUAAGGUUAAUUUUGAUUACAUCACCUUCUUAAAUUGAUUAUUAAUUAACAAACUUUUUAAUUAAUUAAUUAUAUCACAACUGUAAAGAAAUAUAUUAUAAUGUUAAGAUAAAUAUCUUUGUAAUUGUUUAAAGCCCUUUCUGCAGAUUCAUUUCUAGUGCUUUUUUUUUUCCACGAAGAAAGCGAAGGCACUACAACUACACUUCAAUUAUAUCGUGAACCAUUGAAUAUUAUUCAAACUUCUAUUCUUAUCAUUGGCUUUUUUUUUUUUUUUUUUAUUGCUUCUAAAUUACAAAAUUCUCCAUUAUAAAAAUGACUGAAACUCAAUUACUUUAAUUCACUGGCUCAAAUCUAAAGCAAAAAUUAAAUAAUUAAAAAAAGAAUAGCAAAUAUUUUAUCACCAAGUUGAUAUAUUUUAAUCCUGGCUUAAAACAAAAAAGAGAGUUUGAGAAAUGUAAUACCAUCCUUCAGUUGACAGCAAAAAAAAAUGUCAACUAUAGUAAUAAUUGUAUCGUUCUAUUCUUAAAAAGGUUAUUCGUGGACAUUAAGUAAUACGAAAAUAUAAGAUGUAAUAAACAUAGAUAUGCAUUUACUCCAAAAUAUACUCUUAUAGUAUUAUAUUUAUUUCUACCGUACAAAUUGAUUAAGGGUAAAAUAUAUUUUCUAUAAAAGUAGAGAAUUCGUUCGUUUGAUCUUCAACCAUAAACCUAACGAAAAACUGGAAGAAAAGAUACAUACAAGAUAUAUGCGUUUGUGUGUGUGUAUUCUAAGUCUUCAUUAAAGAGAAAGCUAAGGUUUGUCAAUCUGAGAAACACCAGGAAGAUGAGAAUGGGAAAUAUCUGAUAUAUUUUCAUUUAUGUCCACAUAUUAAUGUAAAGUAAAGUUGUCCUGAAAUUAAAAACUGUCUCAAAUGAACAUGUAUUGGAAAAGCUUUGUCCAAUGGCAACGUUGAUUUGAAAUGAAGUUCCAAAAAGGACGAGUAAUGAAUGUAAAUUAAUUAGGAGAGAUUAUGAAUGUGAUGGGGAGUUCAAAUAAUUAUAUAUGGAAGUCCUUGUGAUAUUUUUGCAAACUGUGUGGAGGGCCAUGCAUUCUUUUAGCCUCCUUUUCUUUGAUUUGACACUUCACUCACGUUUUGGCCCAACAACACGACACCCUAACUUCCAAUUUACAAAAAAGAACUGAUUUACUUUAUUAUUUACUCUUUCAAUGUGAUUGAUGCCCAAUUUUAAACUCUUUACUUUCUCCAGGAUAUGAGAUCUCUCACAUUAGGCAUAAUCACAAUUUUUGUAAUAUUCACCUCUAGUUUUUAGAUAUUGUAAUUUCCUUCCUACUUAAGUCAAGUCGUUGUGAUUUGGCUUAAUUUCGUGUUUAUAUCAAACCUUUGAGGAGAGAAUUAUUAGUAAACCAACAUAGGAUGAAAGUAAAAAGUUAAUUCUUCUAUCCUAACUCUUCUUCUUUUUUUAAUUAAAGUUGAAAAGGAAGAGAUGUAUCUUAGAUUUUGGUGUUUGCCUACCCAAACAAUAAAAUAAACAUUCCUCUCUCACUUUUUCAAAAUACUUUUUUAAUAAAUAUUUAAGAAAAGAACACAAAUUGGCUAUAUAUAUAUAUAUAUAUAUAGUUAUAGUUAUAUAUAUUGUGAACUGCCCCUUAUGACAAGAGGUAUCUUCACCUUUAUUAAUAUUAUAAAUGUAUAUUGAAAGGCAGACAAUGAAUAGGCCAAAUUUGUUCCACCCAAUGUCUUUGGAGUCAUUUUCCACGUUGUAGGGUGAUCAAGUCCAAAGGUAAUAUAAUAUGGUUCCUAUUUUCAUAAGAAGCAGUACAAUUAUCAAAUUGGGUGCAAUUAUAAUAUUAUUAUUAAUUCCUUAAAAUAGUGUGUGAAUAAAGUUUUCUUUCCUUAAAUUAAUUAAUAUAUGGCUGUCACUUGUUAAAAUGUCCAUUAGUCAAGCCAAACACCCUAAUUAGCUGCCUUCCACAAUGUCUUCCUGUUCAACAUGGGACUAAUCUCAAUUAGACUUAACUAAACUAUUCUAUACCUAAAUAUCAUUCUACCAUAGAAAAUUCAACUCCACCUUCCCUUUUUUUUUUUCUUCUUAAUCUUUCCCUUUCUUUCUUAGUUAGUUAGUGGGUGAGUCAAAUUAAAGUUUUAACUUCUAAAAAUAAAUAUUAAUACAAUAAAUUUUUAAAAAAUAUAAAUUUUACAAAAUAUUUUCAAUCUAUAGUAAAUUCUAUAACAAAUAGUCAUUGACAUGCUAGAAUAAUCAAAGACUAUUAGUGAUAGAAUCUAAAAUUUUGCUAUAGUUUGUAAAUAUUUUAAUUUAUUUUGCUAUUUUUAAAAAUACCCUUAUUAAUAUAAACAUACUACAUCACAUCAUUUGUAGGGAAAAAAAAAUGAAGAAAAACAGACCAACAAAAAAAAAAGAAAUCAUCCAUGGAUUUAACAAAGUCUAAAAUAGCUACUUUUAUUUUUAUUAAGAUUUAAGAAGUAAAAUAAAUAUGUUUUUAAAAAUAUUAAAAAAAUUUGGAAAUAAAAACUAAAUUUAAACUCAAAAAAUUUAUCGAACUUGUGGUGUAAUAUAAACAUCUAGACACACUAACAUGAUUCACCAAAUAAGAUGAGAUGGAACCCUGGGAGUCUUUUCAAGGAGAAAAGAAAGUAAUGGUAUUUGGAUGGAUUGAGUUAUAUGAAACUAUUUUAAAUGGAAAGAUAAUGGAAAAUAAUUAUAAAAUAUAGUAAAAUAUUAUAUAUCACAAUAAAUAAAUUGUACAUGUAUGUAUUUAAAAUUGGUUCAUCUUAAAAUUGGUUAACUUAAACAGUAAUUUAAGGUAGAAAGAUUGAGAUACAAAAUAAUUUAGAAAUAUUUAUUUGGGUAGAAGGAGUUGGGGUUAGGUAUGUAGAAUAGAAGAAAAAGGGUGGGAAAAUGUAGUAGUGGAUUGUGGUGGCGGUGGGUAAAUAAAAGGAGGAGUAAAGUGGAAUCUAAAAAUGAGGAUGAUUCCAUGCGUGUGGCGGCCAUAAAAAAGAAGAAGGAGAAAGAGAGAGAGUAGGGUCCGGAGAUUGUGGAAAAGAUGGAAGCCAGGGAAAGGAAACUAAACUAGGUUUUAAAUUGGCCUUUGAGUUCCCCAAAUAACAAUGGGCCCAUUUUCAUUUUCCCAUUACUCGCCCCUUCGCUUGCUACGCGGCUAACAUUCCUUCUUCCUUCUUUCAUUAAUCACAUGCCCCAUUUUUAUCAUCCUUUAAUUUCAUCUUCCCAAUUCAUUCUACCCUUCCCUUUUUACAAUUAUUACAUUCAUGCAUCUUUCCUUAUACCUUCCCAAUUCAUUCUACCUUCUUCAUUCUUUAAAUCACCCUACCCUCCUCCUUUUUCCUUCUCAUUACUUAUUUCUAAAAUACCUCUCUAUAUGCAUCUUCCCUUAAUACACGUUCCACCAAAAUUCUCACAUCUCUAUAAACUCCGCAUCUACAUUACUGUACUUGUUUUAUGGAUAUUGUGCACCCUUUACAAGUUUGCGGUGUAUUCUUUGAAUUCAAAUAUUGGUUUUCUCUAUUCCUCUGUUUAGGACAACUCCUAUAUAUUACAUUUUUUUUUCAUUUUAUAUGGUUAAAAAUAGAUACUAUCAAGUAUGUAUUAAACUCACCCGCAAAUUUAGUAUAGGCUAAGGAGACUUGUCUUUAUAUAAUAUGUAUAAACAAAAUCAAUUAAUACUUAAUAUUAAUUGAUAGUUUAGUGGUAAUAAUGCGUUCAAGUCUUAUUUGUAUAGUUUUUUUUCAAAUUUUUAUUUUUUUUUUAAGUUACAACUUCAAACCCACUGUCAAUAAAUUUUCUGGACAUAAACUAAGUAUAUUGGAUAACUUAAUUUUAGGCAUUUCAAGAUUUUGUUCAUCUACAAUUCUAGAAAAAAUAUUGUACUUGAGGGUGAUUGAAACAUUAUAUUGUCCAGUGUAACUAGUAGCUUUUAUAGUAGGUGAGUUUAUUGGAUCAAUCCAUAUUAUUUUAGUGUAAGUUAUUUAUAAAAUAUACCAAAAUUUUAUAAUCUACCAUAUUUUGUGAAUAUUUGUUAUAAUGUGUCAUUUCCAAUAAUUUCCUUUUUUCAUAGUAUUUUUUUUUUCUACUAGGAUGAGUCAUAGUUUUUUCUAGUUUUCUUACCUAAAUUCAUGUGUUUAUUAGGUACUAUUAUUUGUUAUUUUCUUUUCAUUCCUCACUUAUGUUUGUUUAAUAAUUUGUGGUGGAAUUAAGAUUGCUUUGAGUACAUGAGGGCAAAUUAUUCAAUGCAUAAAAUCUUAAUUUAAAAAUUAUAUCUUAAUUAUUAGUGUCACAAAUUUGUGUUGCCGUGUUAGGUUGUUUUUCAAGUUUUUCAUUCAGAUACUCCAUCACCUACAUAUAUAUAUAGUUAUACCAACAUUUUAGAUAUAUGAUAUCAAAUAUUGACAUAAACGCCAAAGAAUCCUGAAAAUUUUUAAUAUUAAGAAUUCAUAUAUUCAACAACUCGAGUUUAACAAAACCAUGUUUGAAUGCAGAAUUUUCUUUGCUAUGGUUUUCUAUGUUUUUUCUUUUAAUUUUCUAUCUCUUGUUAUCUUGAAGCUGAUCAUCUCCCCUAGUGGACAAUUUGGUAUUUGAAUUGACAUUUUUGUCAUUUCCCUGUUCCCCCACGAAUAAGUUCCCUUCAAAAUUCUCCACAUAUUUUCCUACACAAAUGAACCAAUUAAUUUCUUCUUCGUUAAUUUCAAAUAUAUACCAAAAUGAAAAUAAUGAAAAUAAUGAAAUAAUAGGUGAGAAAUGUUAAUGAAUUAAUUAUCGUCCCUUAAUUGCAUGUAGACAUCCAAACAAUAAUAGGAGAAAAAGAAGGGUAUUUACAACUUAAUAUUCACAUAUACUAAUUAUUUUACAAAACGAAUCCAACGUCCUUUUCUUCAAUUUUCGAUUUCCAUUGAAGAAAGAAAAAAACAAAGAAAAAAAAAACAUUUUAUUAAAAUUAAAAUUUUAUUAUUUUCGUCUGUCUCUGUCUACUCAAAACACCAACAUGGAAUUCUUGGUGUCGUAAUUCAUCUUCUCCAGAUUGGGCUGCACUGCAAAUUGAAUCAUCGGCGGCGGCCCACAAACCAAAGCCAAAGUAUCCUCCGCCGCUGCCGGUAGAUGCUCUCUCGUUAUUUCCUCCGUAAUAAACCCAAUGCUAUAUUCCCACCCUUCUCUAAUACUCUCCUGCACCACGUACCAUACUUUUCAAACGCUCGUUCUUCUUCGCCCACGUGUCCAAUUCCUCCCUCAGCAAAAUAUCAUCCUCCGUCCGAUUCGCAUACACAACAAACAUCUCCGUCUCGUCCUCCGGGUCCUUCAAAAUCGCCUGCACAAUUUGAUAUAUCGGAGUUAUUCCGGUCCCACCUGCCAGCAUUGCAAGCCGCUUCGCGAACCGGGGUUUCCCAUGGACCGUAAAGUUUCCACGUCCGGUGUAUUCGAUGUGGCCCAACGGACCCUUAACCUCCACUGUCGAACCCACUUCCAUGUUGUCCAAGAACUGUGACAUGAUCCCCCCGUUGGGGAACUUGGGGUGCACGUUUUUGAAGUACACCUUGACGACCAAUUCGAAGUAGCCCAUCUGGUCUACGGUGCUAGAGGGCGUAUAGGCUCUCAUGCAAAGCUUGCCGUCCACUUUUGCGCAUAUAAAAAUGUGCUUGCCCACGGGCAGCCCAAGUACCUGAUCCUGACCGCCGGGCAGUUCGAAUCUGAAUACACGCACAUCGUGCGAGAUUUCGGUUUUGGAAAUCAGCUUGCAGGGGAUCUUUUCGUUAGGGGCCAGUGCCGCGCGUCUUGUCACCAUUGGGGCUUCUCGGAUGGGCGCUAAAUGGGAGAAGUUGGAGGCCCCGUGAGUGGAGUUGUUAGGGGAGUUGGAGGAGGAGUCGGAAGCGUAGCCGGUGGUGAUCAACUCUCCUAUUCGGUAAUCCUCGAGCAUUUUCUUCGCUUUGUCCGAGUGAAUGGCGUCGAACUCUUCGGUGCAGUCGGUGCCGGCGUUGAUUAAGAUACUGUCGGAGCGCGCCGGGGUGGUCUUUGAGGAAGCGUGUGCAAUCGUAGACAUGGCCGUGGACAAUGAUCCAGGCGGAUUGAGGGGAGUUGUGUUUUUUGACUUCGGAUAAGGAGUAAGUGUUGGAGGCAGUGUUCAUGAAUGGAGUGGAGAUACUCUUCUUUAGGGUUUGGUUUGAUUCGGUGGAUAUUUCUAGAUGUCUCUCUCUGUCCAUCCAUCCACCGGAUUGGUUGCCGGGAACCGUUGGGUGUUCGAAGAUGAUUCCGAUUUCUCCCUUGUGAGGUUUGCAUACGUUGGUUUUCACGGUGAACCAACAGUUAUUCAUCAUUCCCAUAAGGUUCCAUAUGAGUUUCUCAGGUUGAGUGUUGAGAGUUUCAUCCCAAGCACGUACUGCAAUUUCUUUAGCGCCAAGCAGGUCUAGAACCUCCACCUCUAAGGACCAGAAACACCAGCACCAGUAUUUUCCAUAUUUGUUUGGCUUCUCUGGAUGGUCUAACGUGCACACUUGCCAUGUCUCUCCACCGUCCAUUGUCACCUCCACACGUGUCACCUUCUUUCCGCCACCUACACGUUUUUUCAAAACUAGACACGUUAAAAUAGUUGUGUGUUUUUUUUUUUUUGAACUUUAAUUCUCCGGAUCUACAUCUACCUUUCCUAGAUAACAACCAAGUAAAUAUAAAAAAAGAAAUACAAAAAACGGCGGCGGCUCACCGGAAUAAGAAUAGCCUCUCAAGGUGUAGGGCCUCUGAGUGGUCCAGGAGUUGAUAGGCAGAAUCUCCUCAUGGCAUGGAGUUGUUAUGACUGAGUUGAUGUUCAACUCGUUGAUUAUGUACUCCGGCUUGUACCACCAUGCUGCAUAUUUUAAAUUAAAUUAAACAUUUAAUUAUAAUUAAGGUUGACAUAAAAUUCAAUCAUAUAGUAACUAUUUUAUACCUUCGGCGUUAGCCAGCUCAGCGUCUACAUGGGAUGGCAAGACUCUAUUGUCCUUGAAAUGGUAAUAGUUCUCUGAUUCUUUGGUUGUAACGAUGAUGCGUUUAAGCCACUUGACCAUUCUACCCCGAUGAAUCCCGGUAUUAUCAUCCUCACAGGAAACCCGUGGUCCGGUGCCAACUGCUCUCCGUUUUGCAUAUACGCUAAAAUGAUGUCCCUAGCCGGAUCCAUAGCCAGCUCUUUCUUGAUACUAGUUCCGUACUUGGACCCUCCCCCACCUGGCAGAUCCUCAGCCCCUUCAAAGCACACAUUCAGCGCCCCCUUCUUCCUGCUCAUAAUCCCACACCGUUUCAACACCUCUCGCAGUGGGACCCCCCUCCAUACUGACGUUGAAACUCCCGCCGCUCCCCAGUUGAACCCGAUGCUCUUUUUCACCAUGUUCUGCUCCUUUCGCCGGUUUCCUGCGCACACUAGCGUGGCUGGAAACUCUCGGAACCGGAACUCGUUCACCAGUUGGUCCAUGCUGAACUUAGUGGGCCGUUUGACCAGACCACAGACCUCGAUUGUCCAGUCGCUCCACUUGGCCUUAGGGACUGCUCCGUGGUUACGCACGUAGUGUAGUGGGACUGGGGUUAUGAACCCAUGGUGCAUCAGACGAUUGAGAGGUGGCUCCGAGUUGAAGGGGUGCUUCCCUGUGAGACGGACCAUGGAAGAGUUCCGCUCGAUCCAAUUAUCAGCCGUCCCUUCAUCUCUAGGGUCCACAGUCGACGGUUCCAGUUCACGGUUCCCCUUCUUGAUCAAUUCACGAAGCUCGUUGUUAUCGUUCUCGUCUUCACUACACGAAUCAUCAUCUUCUUCCUCCUGUUCCAUCUUCACGGAGCUCUUGAGAAGGCGAUUGUUAAUGUUGGAAUUGGGGAAGUUGCAUCCACGAACGGGGGAGUCGGACCGGUGGUUGGGACCGGAUUUGAAGGAGCGAACGACGCCAUUAAGCGGUGGCUGGAGAGAGCCAAAUUGGCGGUUGUCGACAGAAGCCGCCAUGGGAGAUUAUUUGUUUAGAAAAGAAAUGAAAUAAUUCUCCUGAUUUUGCCCUCCACCACCUUUGUUGUGAUAUGAUGUUGUAGUUUGAAUUGAAGUUUUGGUGGUGGGAAAAAGUAGGGAGGAGAAGGUGUGAUUAUAUAGGAAAUGUAUGUGAAGAAAAAGCCGAAAGUGAGGGCCCAACCUAUUGGACAGGAAAUUUCGAUGGGCUGGGGGAGCUGUUAGUUCAAAAUGACGCCGUUUCGGGAGUGGGGGGCGUGCCAAUAGGGCGAGCCUGACGAAGUACUUACAAAUCAGAACUAUGAAUCUGUGGUGGGUGUGAGCCCUUGGGUUCAUACCGGUCUCAGCCACACGAUGAAUUCAAACAUUUCUCUUCAAAUCAACAAGAUAUCCUCCACAUCUUUUAUUUCCAUAGCUUUUUCUUCUUACUUAUUUUAAUUGCCUUUCUUCUCCCCCACUUCUUAAUUGCACUAUUAAUUUUCUCAAAAUACACACAAAACAAUAAUAAUAAUAAUAAAUAAAUCUCUGCCCACAACCCUUACUUUCAAUUUUCUUUUAAAUUAUUGUCCUUCAAACUACUAUUAAUAACCAUGGCUCUAUGAUUCAAAUUUCUGUUCAAAUCACUCAUUCUAUUUACUUUAAAUAUAGUUUGUUAAACUUUCAAAAAACAUGUGAUUAUAAAUCUUUCUAAAAUGUGCAUUUAUAAUUUCUUUUGUUUAACUCGAACAUAGCUUAAAUAGUAAGAGAUUCAAAAUCUUCAUAAAAACAAAAGAGAAAAAAAAAUAAAUACUUGAUCUAUAUUUUUGGAGACAAGCUUUUGCUAACUUCUGUGUUUUCUUUAUACAAAAAUUGUGUUCUUAGAGGAGUUAAUUUAAUCUUAGGAGAUUCCAUGCAUGUAUGAGUUUUUAUUUAUUAGUUUUGAAAUUUUGCUUUGACAAAAAUGUACCUGUGUACUAAAUGUUUGAAAAUAAAAAUGUAUUAAAUCAAAUAUGAAGGAGAAAGCAAAUAUUUCCACACAUAAUGAAUAGAAAAAAAGACGAUCUUACCUUACCUUACGCAUGCAAAGACAAACAAGUGUAUGUAUAUAUAUUAUUGAUAGAGAUUUGUUGAAUUAAUUAAAAUUUAACAAUAUAUCUUCUUAUCUUAUAAACUAUAUAUAUAAUUAAUUAAUGUAAAAAUAUCUUCUUCAAAUAGUCACCAAGAUAUUUUUGCUGACAUACCAAAUUAAGACGAUAAUAUUACUUUCUUCCAUUCUUUUUAUAAGACGUCUCACUCUCAAUGAAAAAAAAAGUGUAAAGUUUCUAUAAAAAAGGAAAAAGAGAAAAAAAGCGUAAAGCCAAGCAUUUAAAAAGUGAAAUGAUUCUUUAAAAUACUAAUGAAAUAUUUGUGUUUUUGAAAAUUACUUUUUUGGCCAUUACUAUGUGCCAAAUAGUUUUUCUACCAACAAUAAAAUAAAGGGGCAGUUUUUCGUAACGAAUAUUUUAUAUAAUUGAGCUGUUUUAUAAAUAUUGAUUACUUAGGUAUGUAUAUCUUUGCCAAAAUAUAUUUAAUGGGAUUUUAAGUAUGUAUUCAACUAUCAACCUAGAUUAUUAUUAUUAUUGUUAUUAUUUUACCAUAUAUAAGGUAGGAGUAGAACCUUUGAGUGUGAAAUAAUUGAAUAGAAAAUAAAUAACUAUGAUAUAGAAUAACUUUAAACUAUAUAUAUAUGUGUAUGUAUGUACAUUUGCAUAUAUGUAUGUAUUGAAAUAAAAUCUCUAAUUUGGAGUUGAUAACGAUAUGCAAAAUCCAAACCCGAAAAGGAGAAGGGCUGGUUAUGGACAUUUGGGGAAGUUCAAGUGAGGAGGCAGAAGAAGGACGAGAGGAUGGGAGGAAGAAGUUUUUCAAAAAAUUAGUUAAAUGAGGCCAAUUAAAAAAGAAAAAUAAAAUCUAACGUACUUAGGAUGACUCAAUUAAUAGGAUACACAUCUCUAUCUCCGAUCAUGGGCUCUAAACCCUUAAUUGAUACACAAGAGUUUAGGGUUUAAAUUAAUCUAAAUAUUACUUUAUAGUUUAGAUUGAAUAUGAUCCCUAGUUGAGAAGAUGAUUGAUGUCAACCUAGUUUAAAUUGAAUAUGAUGGAGUGCUAAGUUUGUGCUAACCUAGUUAGGAUGAUUUGAUGUCCUUUGUGACCCAUAACUUCAUCUAAGAAAAGAAAAUUGAACAUGUCUCUAAAUUUAGAGAUAUAAAUAGAUAUUUUUCCUAAAGUUAUAAAUUAUUAAAGCGUUAUUUUUAACUAAUUGAAAAGUUUAAAUACUAAGUUGGGUUGCAUUGAUACCAUACUAAAUUAUCACUCAACCUAACUCAAAAGUAGAAUGUAUUGAUAGGUUACGGUAAAUAUAGAAAUUUUCGAGAAGUAGAAAUGGAAUUCUCUCAUCCCAAAAUGGUUGAAACUAGUUUUAGAAAAUUUCUUUUAAGCAAUGAAUAUUUGAUGUUUUUAAUUAAUAUAUAAUAUGAACAAUUAGGGAUUGAUUCCCAUGAAAAGUUAAAUUUAUUUUCAAAUUUAAAAUGGAAAUAGAGUUUUUGAUGUUAUGGUUGAAACAUAUGUUGGAGUAUUCAACAUGACAAAUGAUUCAUUAACUUGGCAACUAGCUAAAAAUAGAAUCCUCACUUUUACAAUAAUAAUCAUGUAAUAUAAUUAAAAAAAAAGAAAAAUUAACUCAUUCCUCUCUCUUUCUCAUUUUCCCUAAACAUUACAUAAAUGGUAUUGCACUAUUACUUCAAACACUUUUAUUAGAAAAGAAAUGGGAUUUAUAAUUUUAUAGAAUUAAUCAUCCAUUUAGAAUGUCUUUUUAAAUGUUUCAUUUCAACAUGGCCAAAAAAUUGAUUUUGUUAUAAAUAUUAGUAAAAUAGUUAGAUGGUCCAUUAUAUUAUGGGUUAAUUGUCAUGUGUCACUUUCUCUCCAUUUCACUAUAUUGUCAUGUGUCAUUUUCUUCAACAUCUAACACAUUUGUCAUGUAUUGAAGAUAUCAGACCCUUGGAGGCCAUGUAAUUAAUUCGUCUCAUGCUUACCAAAUUGCCUAUAAAUAAUGUCAUUUGGACAUGGAUCUUGUAGGACACACAUGUUGGUAAAAUUUUCAAAUAAAUAGGAGAAAGUUGAAUUUUUUGAAAUUUUUAAAUUUAAUUUAAUUUAAUUUAUUUUAAUAUUAUAUUUUCUUGAUUUUCGUAUUUUCGUUGUGUCUCAUUUUUACGCUGGAGCUCCAAUUGCCUCCUUCGUCCAAGCAUGAGCUCCAACCAUCUUCUAUACUAAAGGUUGGUUGAUUUUUCACCCACUUUAUUAUAAUUAAUAAAAUGAAUGUUAUUUUGCAUAUUGAAUGUAUAUUAAAUUUCUAAUAUAAUUACAAUAUUUUGUAUAUUAUCUUGAAGAUAUUACAAAAUUACAAUUUCUAGUAUUUGAUAUUAAUAGUAAUAAUUAUUUAUCAUGAAUGUUUGAUACAAAAAUACACCUAGAUGUAAUUAAAAAUAUGAUCGUCAGAAAGCAAUUAUUCUUCCUAAAGCUCGUUAUAAAUGAAUACAGUUGAGGCUCCAAAUUUCUAAAUAAAUAUGUUAGAGAAGAAUUUUUCUACGUUUUGGAUAUGCUUCAUGCAAUAGCUUUUGCAUAAUAUCUUCUCAUGAAUGAAAUAACGAGUUAUUGAUUGAAAGACCAUGAAUAUCAAUCAACUACUAUAGAACCAACAUUUGCUAAAGUGAAUGUUGUAAAUUUUAAUAAUGGUGGAUUAAAAAUUAUGAUUCUUAAUCUUAUUAUCUAAAAUGAAUGUUGUGAGUUUAACAAUUUUAAUGGAGGUUAUAACUACAAUAAAUGAAGAAAUAAUUAUUCAUUGCGGCUGAUUGUUAUAAUUAUCCAAAUUUUAAAAGAACCACAUGAAAUGAUGGUCAUAAUAAAUGGAAAGCACCUCGAAAAAAAUAGAAAAAUGUGAAAUGACAUUUUGCAUAUAUGAUUAAUAAUAUAUAUAUUUGACCUAUCCAAUAUGACAAAUUUGGAUACGGUAGAGUUUUGAAUCUCUAGAAAAUUGACAUAUUCGAAAAAACAAGUAUUUCUUUUGUGAUUAUAUAAUAGUUAAUGUUUUUUUAUCUCUCAUAUUAUAUAUAUAUAUAUUCCAAGUUUUGUUUUUUUUUUUUUUCAAGUUUAAAUUAAUUUGUUUAACGAGGAAGCACAAAAAAUUUUCUUAUAUUUAAAUAACUAAAAAUGUUUUGAGUUUUUUAUCUUUUUGAUUAUAUUAUAUUCAUAUAAGAGUAAUUAAAACAUAUACAACUAUUAACCUAGAUUUCAUGAAUCUAGACAUAUUUACAAUUGAAAUAAUCGAUUGGAUCAUCCAGGAUCUAUAAUGAUGAGAAAAAUUAUUGAAAAUUCACAUAUGGACAUCCAUUGAAGAGCCAGAAAAGAUUCUUCAAUCUAAUGAACUAUUAUAUGAUGCUUACUCUCAAAGCAAAUUAAUAAUUAGAACAUUACUAGCUAAAUUGGGAAUUGAAUCAUCUGUAUUUUAAGAAUGAAUUCAUGGUGAUAUAUGUGGAUCUAUUAGCUCACCACGUGGACUAUUUAAGUAUUUCAUGGUAUUAAUAGAUGAAUCUAGUAGAUGGUCACAUGUGUGCUUAUUAUCAAGUUGAAAUCUUGCAUUUGUAAAAUUACUUGCUCAAAUAAUGAAGUUAAAAGCAUUGUUUCCUGAUUAUACAAUUAAGAAAACAUUCAGCUUGAUAAUGUUGGUGAAAUUACAUACCACGAUUUUAAUAAUUAUUGUAUGUCAAUUGAAAUAAAUGUUGAACAUCAUGUAGCUCAAUGGUUUAGUAGGAUCAUUAAUAAAACGUUUGCAAUUACUUUCUUUACCACUACUUAUGAGAUCUAAGCUUCCUACAUCUGUAUGCAGACAUGUUAUUUUGCAUGCUGCAUCAUUUGUGUGUAUUAAGCUAGCAACUUAUCACAAUUACUCACCAUUAGAAUUAGUAUAUGACCAUAAGUCAAAUAUUUCUCAUUUGAGAAUUUUGUGAUGUGCAAUAUAUGUUCCAAUUGCUCUACCACAACGUAUUAAGAUGAGUCCUUAAAAAAGGCUAAGAAAAUAUGUCGAAUUUGAUUUCUCAUCAAUUAUUAAAUAACUUGAACCCUUGGAGAUGAUAUAUUUAUUGUAUGAUUUAUUGAUUGUCAUUUUAACGAGACAAAUUUUUCAACAUAGUGGAGGAAUCCAGAAGUUGAAAAAAAGAAACUACAUAGUUACAUGGAAUAUGUCCUUUUUAUCUCAUUUUAGAUCAUCGUGCAUAAUCAAUGUGAAGUACUUGACGUUCAAAAAAUAAUUUAUUUGCAAAAUAUAACAAAUCACUUAUCCGAUGCAUUUAUAAAUACAAAGAAAGUAAUUAAGUCAUAUAUAGCAACUGCAAAUGUCCCAUAAAAGGUUUGAUAUUCCAGUGCAACAAGCUAUUCUUAAUUAAUGAAUCUGGAGCAUGCCUAGACCAAAUAUAUAUAAGAAUAUGGAUAUAGAUGUUCCAUGAGAAAGGGAGUCCAUAACUCGGUUAUAGAUAUAGAUGUUCCAUAAGAAAUUAAAAAUUGACCAUAGAUAAGAAUAUCAAAGAAGAUAAAACAACUUAGGAUAAGAAUGAGAUUUUUAUAAAUUAUAUCAUGAAAGGAAAAAAAAUGGAAGCAAAGUAAUAUAGUUGUUGACAAUAUUUUUGUAUAUAAUGUUAAUUUUGAUAUUAUAUCUGAAAAUGAGGAUCCAGAAACAAAAUUUGUUGAAGAAUGUUGAUAGAGAAAAAUUGGCUUUCGUGAAAAAAAGUAAUUGAGACAAAAUUAAACUCACUUUCAAAACAUCAAGUUUUUGGACAAGUAUUUAUGAGAAAAAGAAACUAUGAUAAUGAAAUCACAAGAUAUAAAGUAAGACUAGUUACACAAGUUUUUUUUUUUUUUUUAAUAAAAACCUGAUAUUGAUUACGAAGAGAUAUAUUCUCCGGUGGUGAUUGCAAUCACACAUUGAGUUUUUUAAUUGACAUGAUUGUGUGUGUGAAAAAAAUCUAGACAUACAUCUUAUGAAUGUAGAUACAACAUAUUUAUAUGGAUCUCUUGAUAAUGAUAUUUAUAUGAAAGUGUCAAAAGGAUUUAAGAUACCUAAAACGUACAUAUAAAUCAAGUUGUUGGAAAUUAUAUCCAAUAAAGUUACAGAGAUUACCAUAUAGAUUAAAACAAUCAAGAUGGAUGUGGUAUAAUUGUCUGAAUGGAUAUUUGUUGAAAAAAGAUAUCAAAAUAAUCUAAUAUGUUCAAGCUCUCUUUUACAUAUAUAAAAAAAAGCAUAGUCAUGAUUUGCUAUUAUAACUGUAUAUGUUGAUCAUUUAAAUAUAAUUGAAACUCUUGAAGACUUUUCAAAGACAAUAGAAUAUCUUAGGAAAAAUUCGAGAUUAAAGAUCUUGGAAAAACGAAAAUUUUUCUUGGCUUGCAAAUUGAGUAUUUAGCAUUUGUCAUAUUUGUUCAUCAGUCAACUUAUACAAAAAAAAAUUUGAAAAGAUUUUAUAUAGACAAAACAUACAUCCAUUAAACAUACAAAUGUAAAUUUAUUUAAGUAGACAUGAAGAAAAAGAUAUUUCAACCUUGAAGGAUAAUGAAGAACUUCUUGGUCCAAAAGUAUCAUAUCUUAGUGCAAUUGGUGCACUUAUGCAUCUGGAAAAUUAUACAAAACCAUAUAUUGCAUUUUCAAUAAAUUUAUUAACUAGAUACAUUUCCUCUCCAAUAAAAAGACAUUGGAAUAGAAUUAUGGAUAUACCUAGUUAUCUUCGAGGAACAAUUGAUAUAGGUUAUCUAUUCACAUAUGAAGGAUUUGCUAUAUCAUGACGAUCAGUGAAACAUACUAUAAUAACUACCUCCUUAAAUCAUGUUGAAGUUCCCGCAAUGCACAAGGCAGUCGAAAUGUGUAUGGCUAAGAUUAAUGACCUAGCACAUUCGUGGAACAUGUUGUUCAUCUUAUAAUAAAAAUCUUCUAAUGAUACUAUACAAAGACAACAUGUGAUGUAUAGCUCAAAUCAAAUAAAAUUAUAUUAAAGGCGAUAAAACAAAGAAUAUUUUAUGGAAGCUUUUCUACACUUAUGAUCUUGAAGAAAUUGACGACAUCAUAGUACAACAAAUUUUUUCAAAUGAUAACUUGAUAGACUUAUUUACAAAAUCCUUAACUACCACAAUUUUUAAAAAAUUGGUGUGCACAACAUUGAAAUGCAGAGACUCAAAUAUCUCAAGUGAUGUUUCCAUGAUGAGGAGUAAAUUGUAUUUUUGUAAGCUUAUAAAUUAUAUGAAAUAUGUACUUUUUUUUCUUCACUAGAAUUUUUUUCCAUUGGUUUUUUUCUAGUAAGGUUUUAACGAGAUGCAUAUUUCAUAUAUGUAAAUAGGCAUCUAAGAGGGAGUAUUAUAAAUAUUAGUAAAAUAGAUCAUGUCCUAUUAUACUCGGUGUUCAUUGCCAAGUGUAACUCCUUCCACAUUCCACUACAUUGUCAUGUGUCAUUUUCCUUCACAUGCAACACCUUUGACAUGUGUCUUAAAGAUAUCAACUCUUAGUGGUCAUGUAAUCCAUCUUAUGAUUAUCAAAUUGCCUAUAAAUAGUGACAUUUGGUGUGUCAUGUAUGAAAUGCAUAUUUAUGAAAUUUUCAAACAAAUGGGAGAAAGUGAUUUUUUUUUUUAUUUUCUAAUUUCUUAAUUUAAUUUAAUUUAUAUAUUAUAUAUUAUUAUAUUUUAAUAUUAUAUUUUCUUGAUUUCAUUGUUCUCGCUGUCUCAUUUUUACAACAUGUUUAAUCGCCAGAAAUAUAGGGGCAUCUCAAAAUCCACAUCGCUCACUUUUAGUCACCACUCCCACUUGUGAACCUAAAUCUUAUAGAUCUGCCCUUAAGAUUUUCCACUCGUAUAAUGCCAUGAAAGAAGAAAUGGACGUUCUCCACAAAAACCAUACUUGGGAUCUAGUUCCCCGUCCAACAUACACCAAUAUUAUAGAAUCCAAAUGGGUCCUCAAAAUCAAACUUAGAGAUCAAGAUGGCUCAAUAGAUAGAUAUAAAGCUCGUUUAGUUGCUCCAGGAUACUCUCAAAUAGAGGAAAUUGACUAUGGUGAAACAUUUAGUUCUGUUGUCAAACCUCCUACAUCCUCAUUAGGAUAAACUUACCUUUUCAGGGGUAUUUAACAAAUGUCAUAGAUAAGCAUUCUCAAAUAAGUUGUAUAUUAUAGUAUGAUGCAACCAUUAGGUUUCCAAGAUAUUCAUCACCCAAACCAUGUUUGCAAACUUAACAAGUCCCUUUAUGACCUAAAACAUGCUCCUCGUGCUUGGUUUGAUAGACUUUUCAACUAUCUUAUGACAUUAGGAUUUAAUUGUUGCCACUCUGAUCCAUCCUUAUUUAUUCUUCAACACCCCAAUGUCACACUCAUUAUGCUUAUCUACGUUGAUGACAUAAUUAUCACCAGAAAUUACCCUGAAGCAAUACAACAACUCAUUACCACCAUCGGUAAUGAAUUUGCUCUUAAAUACUUAAGGCCUCUACAAUACUUCUUGGGAAUUGAGGUGAUGUCCACUCUUCAUGGUCUUUUCCUAUGUCAAAGCAAAUAUGCAAAAGAAAUCCUCAUUAAAGGACACAUGCUUGACGCUUCCAAAAUCAAUACUCCCAUGACUGUCACCACCUCAGAUCAUCUUUGGACAAUGACCCAAUCGAUGCCCAAGCCUACCGUAGUCUCAUUGGGUCCCUCCAAUACCUCACUUUUAUGCAUCAUAAUCUCUCCCAUGUUGUUCAUCGUGUUUGUCAACAACUUCAAAAUCCAACAAAAAAAGGCCUUUGAGCUGGGAAACGGAUCCUUCGCUACAAUAAAGGGACUAUAAACUAUGGUUUACCUAUUUUUAAGCAAAAGUACAUAUAACCUUUAUGUGUUUUGUGGUGCAGAUUGGGCUGAAUGCACUACAAUCAGGUGUAAUACAACAUGUUUUUGUGUCUAUCUUGGUGCAAAUUACAUUUCAUGGUCUUCGAAAAAGAAAAUCAUUAUAGCUAGAUCAAGCGCUAAAACUAAAUAUCGUGUCAUGGCUAGUGCCACAACUGAACUUACUUAGAUCACUUUCCUCUUUAUAGAUCUUUUUAUACUCCUCAACCAAACACCUCAACUCUUUUGUGACAAACUUGGUGCAUUAUAAAUGAUGGUCAAUCCAGUAUUUCAUGCUCGAACCAAACAUAUCGAGCUCGAUUAUCCCUUUGUUCGAGAAAAAGUGACCAAUGGCUCACUCAUCACUCGCUUUGUCCCUUCUCAUAAACAACUAGGUGACAUAUUCACCAAGCCCUUACCAAAAGCACACUUUAUUGAGUUACGAAACAAACUUAGAGUUCAAGCAAUGCAACACUCCAGUUUGAAGAAGGAUAUAAGAGAUCAGGCAUCUCAAAAUCAAAUUGACACCAAAUAUGAAUUAAUCAAAUUACCUCAAAAUCCGGAUAAUUAGCCUUUGACAUAAAUGUUGUCCAAAUUCACCAUGAUUAUUUUGCCUUACUUGAAUGAAAAAUAUGACCCUUGCUCAGUUCUCCUUUUUGACCUCCACAAAUCCUCCACAAAUUUAUUUUUUCAAUCACAAAUUUAUUCAUUCCAUGUUUGUAGCUUAUUCAAUUUGUGUAUAAAUAUCCAUCAUGUGUUUAUCAAGAAUAUUAGUUUCUCCUUUGAUUGAGGUUUUAGUUUCUUUAGGUAUAAGAUACCUUAUUCUUGUUGUAUGAUCUAGAAUAUGAUGUCAUAUAAUUGUUUUGUGAUAUGGUAUGAGAUGCUCUUUUCUUGAAGUGUGAUUUGGCACUGGAGGACGGAUUAUGCAUGAUGAAAUUGAUGGUGAAUUGCUGAUUGUGUUGAAUUGCUGAUUGUGUUGAGGUUGCUUUGUAUAGCCACAACCUAGCAAAAGAGUGUGAUAAAUGCUUGAGUUGAGAAAAGGGUACAAAGAUGUAAUUGAACACGUACAGCAGUUGUGUGAUGUGACUUAAUGAUGCAUUAUGCGAGAUGUAUGCUUAUGAGAUAUGAGUGGUUAUAAAUGAUUUGAAAAGAAAUGUUUUCCAUUUAUGAUUAAUAAAUAUUUGUUAAUGAAAUUUGGAUUGUGUUGAUCGUGUAACGCGUUGAGAUGAUUUGAUUUGGACUCGAUAUUUUAUUUUUGAAACACAUAACUAUUUAUAUUACAUGAUUUGGCAAAAUGAGUUGUAACACGUUAGGAUAGAAUUUGACUUAGUGUUGGUAAAAGACUCACACUCACUAGACAUUCUUGUCUAACUUUCAAAUGUCUUGAUUUACUCCCCCCCUCUAUGGUAACAGAGGACAACCAACGUUUGACUUGCUAUCUUUAUCGUCUCUUUUGCCAUAUACUCAAUUCACAUCAUCUUUGGUAGUGUCAUUGUGUCAACUCACACAACAUGUGUAGAAGCUAGGUGAGGAGAGUCCAACUAUUGUUUUGAGAUUAUAUAUAUUUUUUGUUAGAAGGAACUUCGUACUUGUGUUAAAUAUAUUCUUUUAACCACUAUGAAUGAAGUAUUUGUGUUAUCAAUUGAGUUCUCAGUUUGUGUUAAGAUUGUGGAUUGUGUUUGUUCCGCUUACUAGGUGUUCUACGUGCUAUUUGCGAAAAGAUUCACGUAGAAUGUGUAGGUGGUCAAGUCUCCACCUGGUCGCAUAGAGUGACUUUUGGAAUGGGGUGGGACAUGUAUAUAGCAAUUAAGAAUUGUAAUUUUUAAUAAUGGCUAAAAUAUAGCAAUUUUAGGAUUUUUAAUGGCUAUAUAUUUGUAAUUUUCAAAAGAUUUCUAUAUAAUUUUGAAUGUAAUGGCUAUAUAUAUAUAUAUGCCACUAUCCCUAAAAAGUUUAUAAAAAAAAUCUAAGUUUGUGAUUAAUCUGAUGAUGAAUAUCUAAGAAAGGAAAAGGAGAUAGAAACUAUUAUCUUCUUCUUGUGUGUCUCUAUAGUGUUGUGUGUUAAACCAAAAACUGAAACCACACAGCAUUUAUGACAAAGAAGAAAAGUAGGUGAAAAUGAUUGACGUUUGGGAAGAGAAUUAUCAAACAAAAUCCUUCAACUGUGACCUUUUUCAAUUUACAACCACAGAAUCUUUGCUAAAAUCCAUUUCAUAAACAUAGAUAUGCAAACUGUAUCCAUCCAUUUGAUACUUACAAAUCAUCUGCCCAUCAAAUUUUAGUUUCACAUCUCAAAUUCCAUACAUAUUCCUUAAUUGAUCUAACACAUAAAAACUUAUAUAUCUUCUGUCAACAACAGCUUAAAGCUAAACCAAUAUUCAAAUUUAGCUUAACUCGACUCAUUACAAGAUUUGAGUUUCAAAUUUCUCUCCCCCAAUCAUUGUACUAAAAAAAGCUUUCAUAUCUGUCAAUAUUUUUAAAACUACAUGAGAUGGUAUAACUUUAAAUUCACAUCUAAUUUAUUUUAAUCACUGAAUCAUGGUUGUAAAACAGCACACAUAGUAGUGGUUAAUCUCCAAAUUAAUUAGUUGGUCCACUAACUUUUAGAGUAUGAUAUUUAAAGACUUCCCAAACUUUGAAUUCAAAAAGUGCAGUCUGUAAUCUAUAUAUAGUGGGAUUAGAAGAUAUAGAAGCGUAUCAAUAAAGUGAACACAAUAAUUAUAUAGAAGGGGAAAAAAAACCUUAAAAAUGCUAUUGAGAUUGCACUUAUUUUUGUCCAUUCAAAAACUAACAACAACAUUUUAACAUUAAAAAAAAAAAAAAAAAGGAAAGUUAAAUAGUUGUAUUUCCCCACUGUGUAAUGAAUGGACGAUUAUAUAUAAAAUAUGUGUAAUCUAAAUUGUACCUACUAAUUUUCCAUAUAUAGAAAUGGAAAUGGAAAAUGGAAAAUGGAAAAUGGAAAAUGGAAAUGCAUGGGUGCCAUGUAGCUACCUCCAUGGAGCAGCAGGUGGUAAAUGUAGUAAAACAAAAAGGGGGAUUAGAGAGAACAUACAAUAGCAUAUAAAUGAAGAAAGAUGAAUAAAAUUAAUGAAAAAAAAGGAUGAUAAGCUAUAGUUUUACGAAAAAGAAAAAGAAUAAAGAAUAAGGACAAAAGAAAAGAAAAUGUUGGAAGAGUCAAAGAGGCAAUAAAAGAGAAGAAGUAGGGUUUUAAUUUUAAUUUGUAUUGAGAGUUGUGAAGCGGCGCAUGGGAAGGGGCAAUAGCCAUACCAAAAUGGUGAGGGUAUGGCUCAUAACCACAAAACCAUACAAACCAAUUAGGGUCCCCAAAAGAGAGAAGUGGCUAAUUGGAAACUCUGAAAGGUUAUAUUUAUCAUUUUUUUUUUUUAGAAACUUGGCUUUUGGGUGAACUCUAAAGUCAUCUUCUUCCUUUCCUCCUUCUUUCUAAUUUCUCUGUCCAUGGUCAGAAAGAAAAAGGCUGUCAAAGUUUUAUUUCUCUUUUUUUCUUUUUUCUUUUUUUUUUUUGUGGGAUCCAUAGAUUUUAAGGGGACCAGAAACUAAUGGAAUUAUAUAUAACAGUUUGUUUUUCUAAAUUGAACCACAAAUUUCACUAUUUAUUAAAAAUAUAUCAAUAUUAAUGUUUGUCUAAUAUCAUCCUCAUAAAUCUGUUCUACAAAUCUUUACCACUAAAUAUACAACUACUACUACUACUACCUCCUUUCUUUUUUUUUUUUUGUUUAUUUGUUUUGGGGAAUAUUAAUUAUGGCUCUAUUUAUUGCAUUUGUUUCUAUCUCUUAUUCAAUACUUCAAUUUAAAUAUGCGUUAAAAUAGACUAAUGAGCAACUUUUUGGAAAAUGUACAAAAUAAAUAAUAGCCUGGCACCUACCUAGCUGGUUGUUAUGUUAUUAGGAAUUUAGGAUAGGGAAGAAUAUUAAUUAAACACGAUUUUAUUUACUUUCAUCUUAGGGUGGUAUCAACCACUUUUCUUGGGGAAUAUUUUACACCUUUUUUUUUCUUUUCUUUUUCUUUAAUAAAAUCUUUACUUGAUCUCACAUAUGUAUGUUUAGUUUCAUUUCAAUUUUGUAAAAGUAACUUUUAUAAAAUCAUUGGAGAUGGAUGUUUCUAAGCAGAUUAUACAAAUAUAUAUAUAUAUAAUAUAUAUAUAUAUAUAACAUCUUAUUUAUAUUAAAAAAUAUUUUUAUUUUUAUUUUUUUAACUAGUUAAAAGGUUUAAUAUUUGGAUUAGGUUUACAUUACUUCUUAUUUUAAUUUUUAUAUUUUAAAAUUUGUUUUAGUGAUUCUCUCGUGAUAAUUUGAAGCCGAGGAAAAUAUCGUUAAAAUCUAUAAAAAUGACUUUUAUUUAUUAUUCGAUUCUAAACUCAAAUCUCAAACAUGAUAAUUUAAUCUUUCGCUGCUUUAAUUAUAAUUUAGAGACAGAGAAUUGAUAUAUUAUAUCAAUGUUAGAUAGAUAAACCAUCAAAUGCAUAUAAAAAAGAUUGUAGAAAAGACAAAAGAGUUUUGAAGACGUUGUUGAUAGAUCCUACUAAAGAAAAUAAUUUACGAUUGAAUAAAGAUGGAUAAGAUUUUACUCGAGAGAAGAGAAAUUUAUAAAUGAAAAGAAAUUACGAUUUUAGUUUUAAUAGGUAUGUUUUAUCUUUAUACUUUCAAAAUGUAAUAUUUUAGUUAUUCUAACAUUUUAAAAUUAGUUAUUUAAAGUAUCAUAUAAUAGGUUAAAAAAAUCAUAAUGAUUUUUUAUUAUUUUAAAUUGAAAUUUUAACUUUUAAAAAAUCAUAUUUCUCUGUGAAAUUCCUUUUAAAAACUUUUGUUCCAAUUUAAAAUCUCAUAUAACUUUAUAAAAAAAAGAAAGAAAAGAAAUACAAUUAAAGUGAUUUUUAAAGCGCCAUAAAAAGAUAUAUUUUAAGAAUUUAGAGACUUAAGAUGCAUAUUCUAAAAAGAAUACAUGAGUUGAAAAAAUGUAUAGUGUUUGAUAAAACAUAAACCAAAUGCAUCAAUUCUUCAAAACUCGGAUGGACUAAAAACGAUAGUUUUAUAUAUGAAUAAAUAUAAUAAGAAGAAGGAUGAAAGAGAAUGGAGAAUCUUAUUUAUAUUCCUUUGAACAUAGGUUCGACGAGAACAUGUUUCCCAAGCAUGCAUGCUCCAUGUGAAUAGAAUAUGUGGUUUGUAUGGUUAGUAAUUAAUAAUUAAUAAGUUGUUUUGAGAUUGAUUUAAAAAUGAUUAACCUAAAGUAAACCCAAUAAUUAAGCAACAAAACAAAACACAGAGAUUAAAGACUACAUAAUAUAAUUAUUAAUAUAUAUAUAUAUAUUCCAUUGACAGAAUCCCCAUGCAUUUGUUUCUUGAUUCCAUUACAUUUGAUUCCUCCUUCAAGGAGAGAAUAAUCAAUGAACCUAAAGAAAUGGACCAGGAAAAAUAGUUGUGAUCGAUCAGAUGCAGCUUUUAAACUCAUAAAAAUCCGACAUUGAUUUUAGUACCAAAAUUAAAACCUUUCAAAUACGAAUCUGUCAAAAUGUAUAAUUUAUAUAUGUAAACCAAUAGAUUUUUUGUUUCUCUUUCAGUUUGUUUUUGCUAAGAACACAAUAUAUAUAUAGUACUAAGGAAAACGAAAGAGACUUGUUGUUGUUUUCUGUCCUGUCAUGCAAUAGCCUUUUCUUAAGUGUUUAUGUCCUCGAAUUCAUAAGUGUUUCUAUCAAUUAGGCCAUCAACAGAUAAUUUUGUGAGUGUGGACUGUAUCCAUUUACAUGUAUUGGGUGAAAACUUGUACUUCCUCAAAACAAAUAGAAAUCAAAAUCUCUAAUACGGAAAAACUCUCUUAUAUAUAAUUCUACAAAUGUUGUUAUUAAUUGCCAAGUAAACUAAUAUAAUGUGUUAUAAAUUUUAUGUUACAUUGUUUUCCCAAAAUUAAAGAAUGUUUGCUAUAAAAAUGGGCAUUUGAAAGCUGUAAAAAAUGCAAAAAUAUGCUUAUAAAUAUAUAGAUUGUGGAGUUUGGGAUUCAAAUUUUCUGACAUUAGAAACACAAAUUACUAAUACUGAAUUAUUUUUCUUAGUGAUGAAUUAAAAUACAUACUGCAUCUUUUGGUUGGAGUUAUUUUUUUUCUUUUUAAAAUGUUGUAUUACAAAAAUGAGAUGAGAGCUAGCAUUAGCGUUUUAUAUUUAUUAGAGUUUCAAAUUUUAAAAUUCUUAUUUUUAAAAAAAAAUAGAGAAGUUUUUUAAAUUAUAAAUUUGACAAAUAGAAACCAUGCU